CGCGGCCCCGUUGCGGCUGUGGGCUGCGGAGCCGGGCGCCCGGGAACGCGGAGCGGGGCCCCCAGAUGGACUCGGUGGUCUUUGAGGCUGUGGCUGUGGACUUCGCCUCGGAGGGUGGUGUUUGCUGGAUUCUGUGCAGAAGAACCUCUACAGAGACGUGACGCUGGAAACCUUCCAGAACCUGGUCUCCGUGGGAGAGGAUGGCUUCAGGCCAACAACUCUCUCUCAUCAGUGCUUUUCCUAGAUUUGAAAUGUGGAAAAGGACUACAUUGAUUAUUUAAAGCCAGUGGGUUGGUUCCACAGUGUGUGCGUGAGAGAAAAAAAUAUCUAAUGAACAGAAAAUGGCAAAAUUCACAAGAAAUACUUCUUGUGCCUACAUUUUAGAAGAACACUGGGCAGACCACGGCAACCACGCAGGACGCCCGAGAAAUCCUGUGACAGGCCGGUUCCGGGAACGCGAUGAAGGAAAUCAACACACAGACACGUGCAGCCCCUUUCCCCAUCCUGAUUCCCUGCAAAAAUACUUCUACUGGAGUAAAGCUCUGUGAACGCGCCAGGCGUGGCCAUGGCUGCAUGCACCCGUCUUCCCUUAGGAGGCAGGUCGGAUCUCACCGGGGACAAAACCCGCAUCGGGGUCGGGGCGCCGGCAGGCCUGCAUUUGUCCCGUGUGCCGGAGGACUCACGCCCGAGGGAAACGCUAUGGUGGUAAAACCUUUCCUCAUUUCUGCUCCCUCACUCAGCAGGUCAGGAUUCACCCUACAGAGAAAACCGAAAGCCGGCGUUGUGGGAAAACCUUCCGUGAACGCUCCAGGCUCAGACGCACGAGCAGGCGCCCUGGGGAGGAGCCGUGCGGGUCCAGGCCUGUGGGAAGGCCUCCUGAUCCUCACUCCCUCCACACAGGAAGGGACGGGCUUCAGGUCCGCCGGGCACGGGCGAGUGCACGCCGGCAAGAAGCCGUAUCCGUGUCCGGAGUGUGGGAACGUCCUCCCUUAUCCCUCGGGCUUUCAAAGGCACAUGAUAGCGCACGCUGCAGAGAAGCCCCAAGGCAGUCCCGUGGGAGCACGUUCCGGCAUCCCUGCUCCCUCUCUGCACACUGAAGCGUCACCCAGGAGAGAAAACCCGUAAAUGCAAGCGGCGCGGCGCGGCCUUCCUGGAGCUCGCCGGGCUCGGGCCGCACGAGGACUCCUGGUGAGAAGCCGCGAACAUGUGAGGAGGGGGCGAGCCUCCGGCCCCCCAAGACACCCGGCCGCGCGCGCCGGGGAGAAGCCCUUUACAUGUAAACAGUGUGGGAAAACCUUCCGUUCUCCCCAGUUCUCGACUGAGCCCCCCAGGCGCCCAGAUGUCUAACGCUUGACUUCAGCUCAGGCCAUGAUCUCCCAGUUCAUGGGUU
Suricata suricatta (meerkat) is the source of this 1390-nucleotide long non-coding RNA. RefSeq lists it as uncharacterized. The transcript is spliced from 4 exons. The record is from RefSeq and is a predicted model, not a curated record. NCBI's taxonomy places the organism in Eukaryota, Metazoa, Chordata, Mammalia, Carnivora, Herpestidae.